UGGGGAAUAUUGCACAAUGGGCGCAAGCCUGAUGCAGCCAUGCCGCGUGUAUGAAGAAGGCCUUCGGGUUGUAAAGUACUUUCAGCGGGGAGGAAGGUGUUGAGGUUAAUAACCUCAGCAAUUGACGUUACCCGCAGAAGAAGCACCGGCUAACUCCGUGCCAGCAGCCGCGGAAAUACGGAGGGUGCAAGCGUUAAUCGGACUUACUGGGCGUAAAGCGCACGCAGGCGGUCUGUCAAGUCGGAUGUGAAAUCCCCGGGCUCAACCUGGGAACUGCAUCCGAAACUGGCAGGCUUGAGUCUUGUAGAGGGGGGUAGAAUUCCAGGUGUAGCGGUGAAAUGCGUAGAGAUCUGGAGGAAUACCGGUGGCGAAGGCGGCCCCCUGGACAAAGACUGACGCUCAGGUGCGAAAGCGUGGGGAGCAAACA
This 427-nucleotide ribosomal RNA is filed under the name uncultured bacterium. Its description in RNAcentral is "partial 16S ribosomal RNA". It matches the Rfam family "Bacterial small subunit ribosomal RNA", at positions 355 to 774 of the family's 1533-position model. The record is from RNAcentral.